This is a ribosomal RNA of Bombina bombina (fire-bellied toad), 155 nucleotides long. RefSeq annotates it as 5.8S ribosomal RNA. Lineage: Eukaryota; Metazoa; Chordata; Amphibia; Anura; Bombinatoridae. The record is from RefSeq and is a predicted model, not a curated record. The transcript has a single exon.
UACUCUUAGUGGUGGAUCACUCGACUCGCGCGUCAAUGAAGAACGCAGCUAGCUGCGAGAAUUAGUGUGAAUUGCAGGACACAUUGAUCAUCGACACUUUGAACACACCCCGUGGCCUUGGGUUCCUCCUGGGGGCCACGCCUGUCUGAUGGUCA